GACGAACGCUGGCGGCGUGCUUAACACAUGCAAGUCGAACGGACAGGCCCUGCUUUUGUGGGGUGCUCGUGUGGCGAACGGGUGAGUAACACGUGAGUAACCUGCCCUUGACUUCGGGAUAACUUCAGGAAACUGGGGCUAAUAUCGGAUAGGAGCUCCUGCUGCAUGGUGGGGGUUGGAAAGUUUCGGCGGUUGGGGCUGGACUCGCGGCUUAUCAGCUUGUUGGUGGGGUAGUGGCUUACCAAGGCUUUGACGGGUAGCCGGCCUGAGAGGGUGACCGGCCACAAGGGGACUGAGAGACGGCGCAGACUCCUACGGGAGGCAGCAGGCGAGAAUAUUGCACAAUGGGCGGAAGCCAGAGACAGCAACGCCGCGUGCGGGAUGACGGCCUUCGGGUGGUAAACCGCUUUCGCCGGUGACGAAGCGUGAGUGACGGUAAUGGGUAAAGAAGCACCGGCUAACUACGUG
Molecule: ribosomal RNA, 468 nt
Filed under: uncultured bacterium
Lineage: Bacteria
Description: partial 16S ribosomal RNA
Rfam family: Bacterial small subunit ribosomal RNA
Source: RNAcentral